GAUGAACGCUGGCGGCGUGCUUAACACAUGCAAGUCGAACGAAGCGCUUAAACGGAUUUCUUCGGAAUGAAGUUUUUGCGACUGAGUGGCGGACGGGUGAGUAACGCGUGGGUAACCUGCCUCAUACAGGGGGAUAACAGUUAGAAAUGACUGCUAAUACCGCAUAAGCGCACAGUGCUGCAUGGCACAGCGUGAAAAACUCCGGUGGUAUGAGAUGGACCCGCGUCUGAUUAGCUAGUUGUGGGUAACGCCUACCAGGCGACGAUCAGUAGCCGGCCUGAGAGGGUGAACGGCCACAUUGGGACUGAGACACGGCCCAA
Molecule: ribosomal RNA, 320 nt
Filed under: uncultured bacterium
Lineage: Bacteria
Description: bacterial SSU rRNA
Rfam family: Bacterial small subunit ribosomal RNA
Source: RNAcentral